This 23-nucleotide non-coding RNA is filed under the name Mus musculus (house mouse). Lineage: Eukaryota; Metazoa; Chordata; Mammalia; Rodentia; Muridae. The record is from RNAcentral.
UACAUCAUUGCCUAUAGUCAGCA